Molecule: ribosomal RNA, 143 nt
Filed under: Hygrophoraceae sp.
Lineage: Eukaryota; Fungi; Basidiomycota; Agaricomycetes; Agaricales; Hygrophoraceae
Description: partial large subunit ribosomal RNA
Source: RNAcentral
AAACGUUUCAAGUCAGUCGCAUUGGCCAGUAAUCAACCUUGCAAUCUUGCGAGGCUUAUUUUCUGGUUGAUGGGUCAGCAUCAAUUUUGACUGUUAGAGAAAGGCUUGAGGAAUGUGGCAUCUUCGGAUGUGUUAUAGCCUCU